GGUCUUAUAGCUCAGUUGGUAGAGCACUACCUCGACAAGGUAGUGGUCACAGGUUCGAGUCCUGUUGGGACCACCA
This 76-nucleotide transfer RNA is filed under the name Sulfuricurvum kujiense. Its description in RNAcentral is "tRNA-Val". It matches the Rfam family "tRNA". From Rfam's summary of the family: Transfer RNA (tRNA) molecules are approximately 80 nucleotides in length. Their secondary structure includes four short double-helical elements and three loops (D, anti-codon, and T loops). Lineage: Bacteria; Pseudomonadati; Campylobacterota; Epsilonproteobacteria; Campylobacterales; Sulfurimonadaceae. RNAcentral also lists the same sequence under 11 other names. The record is from RNAcentral.